GGAGGGAGUAUUACUAUGUCCUAGUUGAUAACAUAACUUGCUAGUUUAGCUAUUCCACUGUUCAAUAACUUUUCUAAAGACAAAAAUUGAAAAUUAAAUUUCAGAUCUAAAAAGCACAGGAAGCGUAAGAGGAGGAGGAAAGAGGCACAAAGCUCUGAAAAAACAAAAUGGCGAUAACAUCUCUACAAAUUACUUUCUUCCAACCGGAUAGACACACACUUCUAAAUCUCUCACCGUCCUCACCACCGAUAUCGAAUCAACCGAGGAUACUCAACCGGAUUCAGAAACUAAAUAGAGACCAAAGACUCCGACGAAUUCGAGUCCCAUCUCUCAAUAUAUCUGACUCAUAUACCAAAGUGAGACAUGGAAGAAAGCAGAGCUGAGAAACUCUAAGAAAGAGUCAGUCGAGUCUGCUUCAAGAAGCUCGGGACUGUAUUUCCCGCCGGGGAGUGUAAAGGAUCCGGUUUCAGGUGGGUUGAAUGUGGAGUUAGGUUUUAGACCUUACACCGAACGGCUUAACGGGAGGAUUGCGGUGUUAGAGCUUGUGGUGUUUCUUCAGGUCUAUUUCACAGUAGUUGUUUCUGCUAUGUUUGUUAACAGCGAGAAGGAAAAGAAGAUGGGCGUUUGUGGACAUGGCCAACCAAAAAUACCUUUGGAGGGAUCUCAAGUAUCAAAGUUAGUGAUAUUGCCUAACGAUUAAAAUCUAUCUUGAGAUAUUAAUUACAUCAGUUGUGAAAACGUUGCUUUUCUAUUGUAAGGUGCAUGGACUUUGUAAUUUUUAAAGUAAUGGAUGUAAUGUAUAUUCAUAGGACAAUAAAAGGAUCUCACUUUGGAGUCAGCUUGUUGAA
Brassica oleracea var. oleracea is the source of this 848-nucleotide long non-coding RNA. RefSeq lists it as uncharacterized. The record is from RefSeq and is a predicted model, not a curated record. The transcript has 2 exons. NCBI's taxonomy places the organism in Eukaryota, Viridiplantae, Streptophyta, Magnoliopsida, Brassicales, Brassicaceae.